Molecule: unclassified non-coding RNA, 139 nt
Filed under: uncultured Ascomycota
Lineage: Eukaryota; Fungi; Ascomycota
Description: sequence contains ITS2
Source: RNAcentral
AAACUCUCAAGCCUUGCUUGGUAUUGGAAUCUGUCGAUUGACAAUUCCGCAACUCCUUUGGCAGUAUUGUCCAGCUUCAAGUGUAGCAAGUCAUUCGCUUAGUUGUCUUGGAUUCUCCUUCCACAAGAACUUUUUUCAA